UCUGAUUAGGCAGUGUAUCCCCAGCAAGUCAUCUUUUAUACCGGUUGUCGGUAAUGUUUGUUGCUCCCUUGAUUGGUCAUCAUUAUAUACCUAGUUUCGGUAUCCCGAUGCCCUUCUCUCUCGGUCGAUCUAUCCUUUAUUAACCCAGUAAUCGGUUGUGGAUAAUCUUCCAUGCGAGUAUAUUAUCUACGUUCUGACGGCAAUAGAUAAUAUAUCUCAUGCACUCUUUGGUCGAAGCCUUUUGUUCUUCCCCAGUUGAGUAAGAUUCGUACCCCUGUUUUGG
RNAcentral lists this long non-coding RNA (283 nucleotides) under Lathyrus oleraceus (garden pea). RNAcentral's name for it is "Pisum sativum (pea) long non-coding RNA (PSAT_LNC003796)". The record is from RNAcentral. Lineage: Eukaryota; Viridiplantae; Streptophyta; Magnoliopsida; Fabales; Fabaceae.